Molecule: non-coding RNA, 170 nt
Organism: Candidatus Midichloria mitochondrii IricVA
Lineage: Bacteria; Pseudomonadati; Pseudomonadota; Alphaproteobacteria; Rickettsiales; Candidatus Midichloriaceae
Source: Rfam
CCUGUUGUCCUACCGAUAGUAGUCUACUCUCUUGAUCAAGCAUUGGAGUAAUUCUUUGUUUGAAGCUAUCAGGGCAAUGUACCCGGCUGCUACAUAUUAAUUGUCAUAAACAGGUUCAUAAUCAAGGUUCAAAUGGUAAAAGCGGUUUCAAUAAAAUGAAAUUUAAAGAG